CUCAUCAGCAGAGCAGAAAAUGAGGAUCAUAUACAGCACUUAUCUCAUGGGAUUAUGUGAUUAGAAAUUUCCCUCCUCUGAGCUGGUACUUGGUGUGACUUCUCACUAUGGCACAGAGAGUGGGAAGGAAUGUUUGGACUUCUCCUAGGCCAAGGACAGCAAGGCAAAGUUUAUGUACAGAGAGUGCCCUGGAAUCGUUCAUGCCCAUGCAGAGCAGACAGGCGAUGGAUUUCAAAACAGACUGGCUCUUCCAAAAGACCCCACACAGUGAACUUCAUAGCACUCCACAAAUCUCUCCCAGAGAAAGAUGGAAAGCUUGUUUGAGUCUUCCAGGAUGUAAACGUGUGGUUCCGCCAAGCCUAACCAGAUGCUGGAAUAGAACCUGAGCAGUCAACCUGAUGCCCAAGGCCACCAAGUCACCCUUCCAGUUGGGCAGCUCAGAGAAAGCAGCCAAAGGCAAAAACAACAUAAUACCCAAAGCUCAAAUAAAUGAUGUCUCUGCCUUGAAACGGAUCACUGCACAUUGCAGGACUGAGGCCCCUUAUUUAUUUAAUGCUCUCCAAGCCAGCAACAGAAAUAAUUGCCUACAUGGUCAGGGCAGGAAAUCCUGACAGAGGGAACUCAACACGGUAGCUCUACAUUCUUUUUUUUUUUUUUUUUUUUUAAACC
Sarcophilus harrisii (Tasmanian devil) is the source of this 669-nucleotide long non-coding RNA. RefSeq lists it as uncharacterized. The record is from RefSeq and is a predicted model, not a curated record. The transcript is spliced from 2 exons. Lineage: Eukaryota; Metazoa; Chordata; Mammalia; Dasyuromorphia; Dasyuridae.